CCAAUUGUAAUUUAGAUAUAUU
This 22-nucleotide small nuclear RNA is filed under the name Arabidopsis thaliana (thale cress). Its description in RNAcentral is "snRNA_01430". Lineage: Eukaryota; Viridiplantae; Streptophyta; Magnoliopsida; Brassicales; Brassicaceae. The record is from RNAcentral.